GGGGGCUUGGUGUAGCGGUAACAUGCGUCGACGAUGGAGGCGACCUGCUGAACCCGUGUGCAAUCAGGUCCUCAAUGAAGAGAAUUAGCGCAUGCGACGAGCCGGGAGUUCGAUUCUCUCAGUUCCCA
Molecule: non-coding RNA, 128 nt
Organism: Mycena rebaudengoi
Lineage: Eukaryota; Fungi; Basidiomycota; Agaricomycetes; Agaricales; Mycenaceae
Source: the annotation of a GenBank genome assembly